UACGAAGGGGGCUAGCGUUGCUCGGAAUUACUGGGCGUAAAGCGCACGUAGGCGGCUUCUUAAGUCGGUGGUGAAAUCCUGGAGCUCAACUCCAGAACUGCCUUCGAUACUGGGAAGCUCGAGUCCGGGAGAGGUGAGUGGAACUGCGAGUGUAGAGGUGAAAUUCGUAGAUAUUCGCAAGAACACCAACGGCGAAGGCAGCUCGCUGGGACGGAACUGACGCUAAGGCGCGAAAGCGUGGGGAGCGAACAGG
Molecule: ribosomal RNA, 253 nt
Filed under: uncultured bacterium
Lineage: Bacteria
Description: partial 16S ribosomal RNA
Rfam family: Bacterial small subunit ribosomal RNA
Source: RNAcentral